Molecule: ribosomal RNA, 482 nt
Filed under: uncultured bacterium
Lineage: Bacteria
Description: SSU rRNA
Rfam family: Bacterial small subunit ribosomal RNA
Source: RNAcentral
AGGACGAACGCUGGCGGCGUGCCUAAUACAUGCAAGUCGAACGAGGUUCAUCCGGUGGCAACACCGGAGAAGACCGAGUGGCGAACGGGUGAGUAGCACGUGAGCAACCUACCCCGAAGACUGGGAUAACACCGGGAAACCGGUGCUAAUACCGGAUACCCCCAUCGGAUCGCAUGGUCUGAUGAGGAAAUGGAUUCCGCUUCGGGAGGGGCUCGCGGCCUAUCAGUUAGUUGGUGAGGUAAUGGCUCACCAAGGCUUCGACGGGUAGCUGGUCUGAGAGGACGAUCAGCCACACUGGGACUGAGACACGGCCCAGACUCCUACGGGAGGCAGCAGUAGGGAAUCUUGCGCAAUGGGCGAAAGCCUGACGCAGCAACGCCGCGUGGGGGACGAAGGCUUUCUGAGUUGUAAACCCCUUUCAGCAGGGACGAGUUGUGACGGUACCUGCAGAAGAAGCACCGGCAACUACGCGCAGCAGCCGC